Molecule: non-coding RNA, 277 nt
Organism: Dermacentor andersoni
Lineage: Eukaryota; Metazoa; Arthropoda; Arachnida; Ixodida; Ixodidae
Source: RefSeq, a predicted model, not a curated record
ACUGGACGCAUGAGGCGCGCUUCUUACAGCGAAGUUGCGAAGUGGGUCCAUGAGGCCUGGAGUGCUGUUAGAGUGGCAACCAUAACUGCAGGGUUCCGGAAGGCUGGCCUGCUAGCUUCAUCGCCAACCGAGAACGACGACAAUCAGACCAGCGGUUCUGAGUAUGAAGAGAAUGCUUCAGCCGCGUUGCCUCCAGAAAUGGGCGAGCUUUUUGAGAGCGCAUCCGAAGAUGAAGACUUCGAUGGUUUUAAGUAAAAAUAAAAUGUUGUUAUGGACA